AUUCAAAUUAAUGCUUCGGGAAAUAAAAUGAUUUAAACUGCGCAGUACGUAAAAAACAUCAAAUCACAUCACUGAAUGUUAACACUUGAUAAACAUUUAGAGUGUAGCAUAGUAAGUCGAUUGCAUGCGAUUUGUUCAUAAAUAACUGUAAUGUUAUUACAGUGGAAAUAUGCUGAAUACUACUUUAAUACUACAAUUUAUAUAACAUGCAACAUCGUUUUGUUUCUUAGAUUCAUCAUAUUGUGAGAAAUACUUCAUUUUGAUGGGAAUGUUUGAUGAAACUGCAGCGCAGCAGUAACUGGUGAACAUAUAUAUAUGAUAUUUGGAAAGAAGAAACCUAAACGAACCAUAACAUUGGACAGUAUUGACUACAGUUUGAAUUACAAGACAGAAAAAAGCAACAAAUUGCAGACGUCCAACAUUUUUCCUGCUCACAUGCUUACAUCUUGUGGCGUCGGAUAAAUAGCCAGUAGCCAAGUAUUGAUGUAGCCGUAGUGGAAUAACUGGGAAACUCAUUAUUUUAUCUUUGAAG
Mercenaria mercenaria is the source of this 532-nucleotide long non-coding RNA. RefSeq lists it as uncharacterized. The transcript is spliced from 2 exons. Lineage: Eukaryota; Metazoa; Mollusca; Bivalvia; Venerida; Veneridae. The record is from RefSeq and is a predicted model, not a curated record.